GAUGAACGCUGGCGGCGUGCUUAACACAUGCAAGUCGAACGAAGAGGCCCAGCUUGCGUGGGGUAUUAGAGGCGAAAGGGUGAGUGAAACACGAGUAAAAUGCCCUCGAGUCUGGGGUAAGACUGCGGGAAACGGGCUAAAACUGGAGAUGACAUCUCAUCGCACGGUGGGGGGGGGGAAGAUUUUCCGGUCUUGGAUGGACUCGCGGCCUAUCAGCUUGUUGGUGGGGUAAUGGCUCACCAAGGCGCUGACGGGUAGCCGGCCUGAGAGGGUGACCGGCCACAUUGGGACUGAGAUACGGCCCAGACUCCUACGGGAGGCAGCAGUGGGGAAUAUUGCACAAUGGGCGGAAGCCUGAUGCAGCGACGCCGCGUGCGGGAUGACGGCCUUCGGGUUGUAAACCUCUUUCGGUUGUGAAGAAGCGAGAGUGACGGUACCGGCUAAAGAAGCGCCGGCUAACUACGUG
This 466-nucleotide ribosomal RNA is filed under the name uncultured bacterium. RNAcentral's name for it is "partial 16S ribosomal RNA". It matches the Rfam family "Bacterial small subunit ribosomal RNA", at positions 28 to 507 of the family's 1533-position model. The record is from RNAcentral.